GAUGAACGCUGGCGGCGUGCCUAAUACAUGCAAGUCGAGCGAACGGACGAGAAGCUUGCUUCUCUGAUGUUAGCGGCGGACGGGUGAGUAACACGUGGAUAACCUACCUAUAAGACUGGGAUAACUUCGGGAAACCGGAGCUAAUACCGGAUGAUAUUUUGAACCGCAUGGUUCAAAAGUGAAAGACGGUCUUGCUGUCACUUAUAGAUGGAUCCGCGCUGCAUUAGCUAGUUGGUAGGGUAAUGGCUUACCAAGGCAACGAUGCAUAGCCGACCUGAGAGGGUGAUCGGCCACACUGGAACUGAGACACGGUCCAGACUCCUACGGGAGGCAGCAGUAGGGAAUCUUCCGCAAUGGGCGAAAGCCUGACGGAGCAACGCCGCGUGAGUGAUGAAGGUCUUCGGAUCGUAAAACUCUGUUAUUAGGGAAGAACAUAUGUGUAAGUAACUGUGCACAUCUUGACGGUACCUAAUCAGAAAGCCACGGCUAACUACGUG
RNAcentral lists this ribosomal RNA (497 nucleotides) under uncultured bacterium. RNAcentral's name for it is "partial 16S ribosomal RNA". It matches the Rfam family "Bacterial small subunit ribosomal RNA", at positions 28 to 507 of the family's 1533-position model. The record is from RNAcentral.